This 445-nucleotide ribosomal RNA is filed under the name uncultured bacterium. RNAcentral describes it as "bacterial SSU rRNA". It matches the Rfam family "Bacterial small subunit ribosomal RNA", at positions 28 to 456 of the family's 1533-position model. The record is from RNAcentral.
GAUGAACGCUGGCGGCGUGCUUAACACAUGCAAGUCGAGCGAGAAACUACAUGCAGACACUUCGGUAGAAGCGAGUAGCGGAAAGCGGCGGACGGGUGAGUAACGCGUAGGCAACCUGCCCUUCACAGAGGUAUAGCCUCGGGAAACCGGGAUUAAAACCACAUAAAAUCAUAGGUUCGCAUGAACCAAAGGUCAAAGAUUUAUCGGUGAAGGAUGGGCCUGCGUCUGAUUAGCUGGUUGGUAGGGUAAAAGCCUACCAAGGCGACGAUCAGUAGCCGACCUGAGAGGGUGAUCGGCCACAUUGGAACUGAGACACGGUCCAAACUCCUACGGGAGGCAGCAGUGGGGGAUAUUGCACAAUGGGGGAAACCCUGAUGCAGCAACGCCGCGUGAGGUAUGAAGGCCUUUGGGUUGUAAGCCUCUGUCCUAGGGGAAGAAAAAANGA